GCCCUUCGGGGUGGAUUAGUGGCGAACGGGUGAGUAACACGUGGGCAAUCUGCCCUUCACUCUGGGACAAGCCCUGGAAACGGGGUCUAAUACCGGAUACCACUCCUGCCUGCAUGGGCGGGGGUUGAAAGCUCCGGCGGUGAAGGAUGAGCCCGCGGCCUAUCAGCUUGUUGGUGGGGUAAUGGCCUACCAAGGCGACGACGGGUAGCCGGCCUGAGAGGGCGACCGGCCACACUGGGACUGAGACACGGCCCAGACUCCUACGGGAGGCAGCAGUGGGGAAUAUUGCACAAUGGGCGAAAGCCUGAUGCAGCGACGCCGCGUGAGGGAUGACGGCCUUCGGGUUGUAAACCUCUUUCAGCAGGGAAGAAGCGAAAGUGACGGUACCUGCAGAAGAAGCGCCGGCUAACUACGUGCCAGCAGCCGCGGUAAUACGUAGGGCGCAAGCGUUGUCCGGAAUUAUUGGGCGUAAAGAGCUCGUAGGCGGCUUGUCACGUCGGAUGUGAAAGCCCGAGGCUUAACCUCGGGUCUGCAUUCGAUACGGGCUAGCUAGAGUGUGGUAG
Molecule: ribosomal RNA, 563 nt
Filed under: Streptomyces virginiae
Lineage: Bacteria; Bacillati; Actinomycetota; Actinomycetes; Kitasatosporales; Streptomycetaceae
Description: bacterial SSU rRNA
Rfam family: Bacterial small subunit ribosomal RNA
Source: RNAcentral